Molecule: transfer RNA, 65 nt
Filed under: Gastrocopta cristata
Lineage: Eukaryota; Metazoa; Mollusca; Gastropoda; Stylommatophora; Pupillidae
Description: tRNA-Ser
Source: RNAcentral
UCUUUAUUUUUUAUUUUACAAAGGAUUUUGAAAAUCUUUUUUGGCUUAAUCUUAGCCGUUUAGUG